AAAGUCGUAACAAGGUUUCCGUAGGUGAACCUGCGGAAGGAUCAUUAAUGAAUUUUAUUCAUUGUAUGUAUGUGAACCUCGGUUAGCACUCAUAAGCCUUUUAGUCUAAUUUAAGGAUGUCUCUUUGAGGCUCGCUUGAUUGGGCUUUAAGGUGUGCUAACCAUUGAAGAUUGAUGGACUUUGAGCCAUCAGUCAUUUUAACCAAACCCUUUAAUAUCAUUGAACUUUGACUGAUUAAACGACACUCUGAAAAGAGUGUCAAAACUUAAAUAGAGACAACUUUUAGCAAUGGAUCUCUAGGCUCUC
This 306-nucleotide unclassified non-coding RNA is filed under the name Basidiomycota sp. Its description in RNAcentral is "partial contains small subunit ribosomal RNA, internal transcribed spacer 1, and 5.8S ribosomal RNA". The stretch from base 1 to 47 matches the Rfam family "Eukaryotic small subunit ribosomal RNA", at positions 1785 to 1831 of the family's 1831-position model. The record is from RNAcentral. Lineage: Eukaryota; Fungi; Basidiomycota.